CUCAACACCCUGGCUUCUAAUUGACAAUAUCAUAGUGUGACAUCCACCUCAGCACAGCUACGACCAGAGCAGUGCAGGACUCCAACUGCCAUAACGGUCAUAACAGAGGCGCUCAUGUCGCGGCCCGGUCAGAUCCUGACAGUCUGCAGGUUCUGCUGAAUCCCUGUCAUCAACUAUCUCAGACAGGACAUGAGAAGAAGACGAGGAGAAGACCAGCCCCAAAGGCUGCUGGAUAGAUCCUUGUUUGAUAUCUUCCAUCAUGCCCAUCCUUAUGGCCACAAAAUGAUGUAACCCAAAGACACAACCAAAGAAGAAGUUCAAUGUCAAGUGCUUCAAAAACCCUGCUAAAAACAUCACCUCCAGCAGUGCCUGAGGGAGAAACAU
Gavialis gangeticus (Gharial) is the source of this 384-nucleotide long non-coding RNA. RefSeq lists it as uncharacterized. The record is from RefSeq and is a predicted model, not a curated record. NCBI's taxonomy places the organism in Eukaryota, Metazoa, Chordata, Crocodylia, Gavialidae. The transcript is spliced from 3 exons.